This 460-nucleotide ribosomal RNA is filed under the name uncultured bacterium. RNAcentral describes it as "partial 16S ribosomal RNA". It matches the Rfam family "Bacterial small subunit ribosomal RNA", at positions 338 to 795 of the family's 1533-position model. The record is from RNAcentral.
CCUACGGGUGGCAGCAGUGAGGAAUAUUGGUCAAUGGACGAGAGUCUGAACCAGCCAAGUAGCGUGAAGGAUGACUGCCCUAUGGGUUGUAAACUUCUUUUAUAUGGGAAUAAAAUGUUCCACGUGUGGGAUUUUGUAUGUACCAUAUGAAUAAGGAUCGGCUAACUCCGUGCCAGCAGCCGCGGUAAUACGGAGGAUCCGAGCGUUAUCCGGGUUUAUUGGGUUUAAAGGGAGCGUAGGUGGAUUGUUAAGUGAGUUGUGAAAGUUGGCGGCGCAACCGUAAAAUUGCAGUUGAAACUGGCAGUCUUGAGUACAGUAGAGGUGGGCGGAAUUCGUGGUGUAGCGGUGAAAUGCUUAGAUAUCACGAAGAACUCCGAUUGCGAAGGCAGUUCACUGGACUGCAACUGACACUGAGGCUCGAAAGUGUGGGUAUCAAACAGGAUUAGAUACCCCAGUAGUC